RNAcentral lists this long non-coding RNA (560 nucleotides) under Rattus norvegicus (Norway rat). RNAcentral describes it as "long non-coding RNA NONRATT009217". The record is from RNAcentral. Lineage: Eukaryota; Metazoa; Chordata; Mammalia; Rodentia; Muridae.
GUCAUGCUGCGCUUGGGAGGCGCGGGGCUAGUGCGGGACCUGCGGGUGGUGUGGCCCGCAUGGCUGCGAGGUCCGGGUGGACUCCCGCUGGCCCUGGCGCGCACCACAGGGACGUCGGGAGCGCGGGACCGGCGAGCGCCGGCCUCCGGGACGCAGCGCGGGCGCGCACUCAGCCUGUCCGCCGCAGCCGUAGUGAACUCGGCGCCCCGCCCGCUGCAGCCCUACCUGCGGCUCAUGCGCCUGGACAAGCCCAUCGUACUAGGAGUGAAACUCAAAGCGCCUUCCACAUGCUAGUCAAGCGACAUACCACUGGGCUACAUCGCUGGUCACUUAACCGAUGUUAUUCCAGGAAGUUUCGGCAGGUGGCGCUGUUUCUACCAGGUUGGCAGUGUGUUUCCCACUUCACUGCAGUUCCCGGUUGUCUUAAGGGAAAUAUAUCAUUAGAGAAUCGUAAGCUCAGUCUACACAGGCAUUUUGCCCUGCCAUCCCAUUCAGAAGCUGACCAUUUUAUUUCCUCUCCCAGAGACUUUCCAUUUUGUAAUAAACAUGUCUGUCUACUA